GCCAAUGAUGACAAUUAUGAAUUGGAACUGAAAUGCAAGUUUUUAACUUCUGCAUUGGGUUGAAAUUCUUUGACUAGGACGGUCUGAGGC
Diospyros lotus (date-plum) is the source of this 90-nucleotide small nucleolar RNA. RefSeq annotates it as small nucleolar RNA snoR20a. NCBI's taxonomy places the organism in Eukaryota, Viridiplantae, Streptophyta, Magnoliopsida, Ericales, Ebenaceae. The record is from RefSeq and is a predicted model, not a curated record. The transcript has a single exon.